UACGAAGGGGGCUAGCGUUGCUCGGAAUUACUGGGCGUAAAGCGCACGUAGGCGGCUUUCUAAGUCGGGGGUGAAAUCCUGGAGCUCAACUCCAGAACUGCCUUCGAUACUGGAGAGCUUGAGUCCGGGAGAGGUGAGUGGAACUGCGAGUGUAGAGGUGAAAUUCGUAGAUAUUCGCAAGAACACCAGUGGCGAAGGCGGCUCACUGGCCCGGUACUGACGCUGAGACGCGAAAGCGUGGGGAGCGAACAGG
RNAcentral lists this ribosomal RNA (253 nucleotides) under uncultured bacterium. RNAcentral's name for it is "partial 16S ribosomal RNA". It matches the Rfam family "Bacterial small subunit ribosomal RNA", at positions 524 to 776 of the family's 1533-position model. The record is from RNAcentral.